This is a long non-coding RNA of Panonychus citri (citrus red mite), 230 nucleotides long. RefSeq lists it as uncharacterized. The record is from RefSeq and is a predicted model, not a curated record. Lineage: Eukaryota; Metazoa; Arthropoda; Arachnida; Trombidiformes; Tetranychidae. The transcript is spliced from 2 exons.
AUUUAAUUCUUAAAUUGGAAUAACAGUUAUUACUUUUUCUUUAUUGUUUGAUUACUUUCUCAUCAAAAGGUCUCAAAUGGGUCAGUUGGAAAAAGUGAUCGAAUGGAUUUGGUCAAAAUGGAUCUAAAUAUAAAUUUAUUCUCAAAGUGAAACAAAGGACAAUGAGAAGAAGGAAAAAAAAUAAGAUGGAUGGAUUAUCUUCCAAAAUAAACCACAAUUAUUCAAUUUUA